AUGAACGCUGGCGGCAUGCCUAACACAUGCAAGUCGAACGAAGCCUUCGGGCUUAGUGGCGCACGGGUGCGUAACGCGUGGGAAUCUGCCCCUUGGUUCGGAAUAACAGUUAGAAAUGACUGCUAAUACCGGAUAACGACGUAAGUCCAAAGAUUUAUCGCCGAGGGAUGAGCCCGCGUAGGAUUAGCUAGUUGGUGUGGUAAAAGCGCACCAAGGCGACGAUCCUUAGCUGGUCUGAGAGGAUGAUCAGCCACACUGGGACUGAGACACGGCCCAGACUCCUACGGGAGGCAGCAGUGGGGAAUAUUGGACAAUGGGCGAAAGCCUGAUCCAGCAAUGCCGCGUGAGUGAUGAAGGCCUUAGGGUUGUAAAGCUCUUUUACCCGGGAUGAUAAUGACAGUACCGGGAGAAUAAGCCCCGGCUAACUCCGU
RNAcentral lists this ribosomal RNA (431 nucleotides) under uncultured bacterium. RNAcentral's name for it is "bacterial SSU rRNA". It matches the Rfam family "Bacterial small subunit ribosomal RNA", at positions 29 to 506 of the family's 1533-position model. The record is from RNAcentral.